This 1453-nucleotide ribosomal RNA is filed under the name uncultured organism. RNAcentral describes it as "SSU rRNA". It matches the Rfam family "Bacterial small subunit ribosomal RNA". The record is from RNAcentral.
GAUGAACGCUAUUUACAGGCUUAACACAUGCAAGUCGAGGGGCAGCAUUUUAGUUUGCUUGCAAACUGAAGAUGGCGACCGGCGCACGGGUGAGUAACACGUAUCCAACCUGCCGAUAACUCCGGAAUAGCCUUUCGAAAGAAAGAUUAAUACCGGAUAGCAUACGAAUAUCGCAUGAUAUUUUUAUUAAAGAAUUUCGGUUAUCGAUGGGGAUGCGUUCCAUUAGUUUGUUGGCGGGGUAACGGCCCACCAAGACUACGAUGGAUAGGGGUUCUGAGAGGAAGGUCCCCCACAUUGGAACUGAGACACGGUCCAAACUCCUACGGGAGGCAGCAGUGAGGAAUAUUGGUCAAUGGGCGAGAGCCUGAACCAGCCAAGUAGCGUGAAGGAUGAAGGCUCUAUGGGUCGUAAACUUCUUUUAUAUGGGAAUAAAGUUUUCCACGUGUGGAAUUUUGUAUGUACCAUAUGAAUAAGGAUCGGCUAACUCCGUGCCAGCAGCCGCGGUAAUACGGAGGAUCCGAGCGUUAUCCGGAUUUAUUGGGUUUAAAGGGAGCGUAGGUGGAUUGUUAAGUCAGUUGUGAAAGUUUGCGGCUCAACCGUAAAAUUGCAGUUGAAACUGGCAGUCUUGAGUACAGUAGAGGUGGGCGGAAUUCGUGGUGUAGCGGUGAAAUGCUUAGAUAUCACGAAGAACUCCGAUUGCGAAGGCAGCUCACUAGACUGUCACUGACACUGAUGCUCGAAAGUGUGGGUAUCAAACAGGAUUAGAUACCCUGGUAGUCCACACAGUAAACGAUGAAUACUCGCUGUUUGCGAUAUACAGUAAGCGGCCAAGCGAAAGCAUUAAGUAUUCCACCUGGGGAGUACGCCGGCAACGGUGAAACUCAAAGGAAUUGACGGGGGCCCGCACAAGCGGAGGAACAUGUGGUUUAAUUCGAUGAUACGCGAGGAACCUUACCCGGGCUUAAAUUGCAACAGAAUAUAUUGGAAACAGUAUAGCCGUAAGGCUGUUGUGAAGGUGCUGCAUGGUUGUCGUCAGCUCGUGCCGUGAGGUGUCGGCUUAAGUGCCAUAACGAGCGCAACCCUUAUCUUUAGUUACUAACAGGUUAUGCUGAGGACUCUAGAGAGACUGCCGUCGUAAGAUGUGAGGAAGGUGGGGAUGACGUCAAAUCAGCACGGCCCUUACGUCCGGGGCUACACACGUGUUACAAUGGGGGGUACAGAAGGCGGCUACCUGGUGACAGGAUGCUAAUCCCAAAAACCUCUCUCAGUUCGGAUCGAAGUCUGCAACCCGACUUCGUGAAGCUGGAUUCGCUAGUAAUCGCGCAUCAGCCAUGGCGCGGUGAAUACGUUCCCGGGCCUUGUACACACCGCCCGUCAAGCCAUGAAAGCCGGGGGUACCUGAAGUACGUAACCGCAAGGAGCGUCCUAGGGUAAAACUGGUAAUUGGGGCUAA